Long non-coding RNA from Rattus norvegicus (Norway rat), 658 nucleotides. RefSeq lists it as uncharacterized. The record is from RefSeq and is a predicted model, not a curated record. Lineage: Eukaryota; Metazoa; Chordata; Mammalia; Rodentia; Muridae.
GCCUCAGACCCUACAGAGAACCAGUAAGGAAGCAUCAUCAAAGGGGUGAGAAGAUAGAGGUGCAAAGAGAGGAAGGGAUCAUCUCCACGAAAGACCUCACAAAGUGAUGUGAGCUCAGAAGAUCAGAGUUGGUGUCUUCUUUCACUGAGGCCACAGGAUCACCCCAACAGGUUAUCAAUGGAAUUAUUGGAAUCAAUGGGAUCAGUGGAUUCACCUCCCUCCUUUGGGGUGCAAAAUUGCAUGUGUGCUGUGCAGCACAUCCAUUCGAAGUAGUCACAGGUCUGGUGCCGGUAGCCAUAAGAUUAACCGGGGCCACCUGUGUGGCUACGGGAUCGAGACCAUUUACUGAGGCCUGGUGGGAUCACUAGUGGGCACACAGCUGAGAGCAGUGGCUGCCUCAUUCCCUGAAUCCUUCAGUAGGAAACGGUUUAGCAGGGUGCUAAACUCCUACUCCAUCCUUGCCUGGCUACUGAUGGACCCAUUCAUGUGCAGACCCAGUGCAGUCCCAGGUUGAAAUUUCAUGACUGCAACGGCUGUGUGUGGCUCUGAAGAUGACACUUUGCAGUCUUGCUCCCUAUCCGUCAGCUCCUGGUUUCUGCCCCCUCUUCUGUACUGUUCCCAGCGCCUUGGCAGGGGUAGCAUAAACGUCUUCUUCAGA